Long non-coding RNA from Lacerta agilis (Sand lizard), 437 nucleotides. RefSeq lists it as uncharacterized. The transcript has 3 exons. NCBI's taxonomy places the organism in Eukaryota, Metazoa, Chordata, Lepidosauria, Squamata, Lacertidae. The record is from RefSeq and is a predicted model, not a curated record.
GUUACUUUGAGAACUGCCCCCCAAAUCUCUGGCUAAAGAAUUUGGUUAUCUUUCCAGCUGUUCUGAGCAACCAUAACUCGGAUGACUUGUCUUCUCCUCCCUGGGUGAAAAAUGAAGUUUGAAAGACCGUUCAUUACCUUCUUGGUAUGUGUUGACUCUGCUGAUUCUUCAUCUGCCAAAGUGGAUACCCUGGCUUCUGUCUCAUCCACAGACUUCUGAUCAUGAAUUACAUUCCCGAAAAGAGCGACAUGGCAAGAGUUAUCGUUUUCUUUCGGGCCUGGAGGAAGUUCUAUCUUUCUGAGAGACAACCCAGGGAAGGCUUGCUAAUCAUUCAUUUUGGUUUCAAAAUUCACCGUUGUCAAUAUCAUUAAUUAGGUGCAUUAUACAGAAGUCAGGUAGCUUAUGGAGAAGUACGAGCAUUCGCAGUAGAGGAAGAA